RNAcentral lists this ribosomal RNA (243 nucleotides) under uncultured bacterium. RNAcentral's name for it is "partial 16S ribosomal RNA". It matches the Rfam family "Bacterial small subunit ribosomal RNA", at positions 103 to 334 of the family's 1533-position model. The record is from RNAcentral.
CGGGUGAGUAACACGUGGGUAACCUGCCCGGAAGUGGGGAAUACCUCGGGGAAACUCGAGCUAAUACCGCAUGACAUCUUCGGGACGAAAGUUCUGACGAUCAAAGCGGGGUCGCAAGAUCUCGCGCUACCGGAUGGGCCCGCGCCCGAUUAGCUAGUUGGUGAGGUAACGGCUCACCAAGGCUUCGAUCGGUAACCGGCCUGAGAGGGCGAUCGGUCACACCGGAACUGAGACACGGUCCGG